This 466-nucleotide ribosomal RNA is filed under the name uncultured bacterium. RNAcentral's name for it is "partial 16S ribosomal RNA". It matches the Rfam family "Bacterial small subunit ribosomal RNA", at positions 28 to 507 of the family's 1533-position model. The record is from RNAcentral.
GAUGAACGCUGGCGGCGUGCUUAACACAUGCAAGUCGAACGAUGAAGCUCAGCUUGCUGGGUGGAUUAGUGGCGAACGGGUGAGUAACACGUGAGUAACCUGCCCUUAACUCUGGGAUAAGCCUGGGAAACUAGGUCUAAUACCGGAUAGGAGCGCCUACCGCAUGGUGGGUGUUGGAAAGAUUUAUCGGUUUUGGAUGGACUCGCGGCCUAUCAGCUUGUUGGUGAGGUAAUGGCUCACCAAGGCGACGACGGGUAGCUGGCCUGAGAGGGUGACCGGCCACACUGGGACUGAGACACGGCCCAGACUCCUACGGGAGGCAGCAGUGGGGAAUAUUGCACAAUGGGCGAAAGCCUGAUGCAGCGACGCCGCGUGAGGGAUGACGGCCUUCGGGUUGUAAACCUCUUUCAGUAGGGAAGAAGCGAAAGUGACGGUACCUGCAGAAGAAGCACCGGCUAACUACGUG